CGCAGCAUUCACAAGGAGCUGCAGAAACCCGCUUGGAGUUGCGAGCCGCAGGCAGGGGAUCACGAGAGGGAAGUGUGGGUGUAGAGCAGGCACCCACAAGCAGGAAGGACUGUGACGCGCAGAGCAACGCUGGUGUAGUGGGAGGGUCACCCUGACGCCUCUAAGCCGGCCCCACUCAGAGGCCUGGUCUUCAGGCCCGGUUCGACCUCACAGCAGGCGUCAAAAUCAGCCCCGCGAACUGCAAGAGAAACCACGCCUAGGUGUUCUUAAGGAUCGAGUGCAGAUGCACGUAGGUGACAGCUUUUUGACAACCCAAAAAGACGCGAUCUUUAAAAAGGAAAGAAAAAAAAAAAAACUGCGUGCAAAUGCUAGAGAUUCUUUGGCUGACAUUCGCAUCCAAACCCCCCACCUCUGGGUAAGACGCGGCCACCCAGCCCUCCGGAUGCCAGCGCCAGCCUUGGGCCCCACAGCACGUCCCGCUUUCCACCCCCAGGCCCUGCUGCUCCUGGCUCUGGCACAGGUGAUUUGCUCAUUUGAAAUGUCAUCUGUUCGCCCAGAUGAAUUCCCCCUGCUGGCGUCUUUGCCUGCAGCGUCUCCCUCCCUUCUCUGUGCACAGUACUGAGCUCCUGUCUCUCGGUGACAUGCAAGGCACGCUUGGUCCCUGCUGUUUGUCGUGGGCUGCAUUGUGUCUCCCCAAAAUGCAUGUGUCAACAUCUUAGCCCCAGUCCGGCGGAACGUGACCUCACUUGGAAACAACGGCUGUUGCAGGUGGAAUUAGCUAAGACAAGUUCAUCGAGAUGGGGCCUAAUCCAGUCACUGGUGUCCUCAUAAAAGGGGAGCGCGUGAACACAGACACACACACAGGGAGAAUACCGUGUGAAGGUGAAGGCAGAGAUCAGGGUGGUACAUCUACAAGAUAAGGAACACCCAGGGUGACCAGAAACCGCUAGAAACUAGGCAAGAGGCAGAGCACAGAUUUUCCCUCACAACCCGAGAAAGAACCAACCUCGAUCUCAGACUCCUGGCCUCCAGGACUGUGAGAUAAUAAGUGUCUGUUGUCUAAGCCCCGCAAUCUGUCCGCGUCUUUACAGCGGCCUGAGGGGACCAAUCCACUGCUCAGAAACACCCUGGAAUGUCACAGGGAUCUUAAGGGCUCUUUUGUUUCCGAACUCACCCCUGCUGUGGGGGGAGGAAUAAAUCCUAAUGGGUUUUUUUCAGUCUUUUAGAGUCUGUCCGUGGGAUAAUUUUUCUUCUGAACAUUGGGGAAAAUAUUUGUGCAUGACAAACAGGCUACGUGCGUGGUCACAAUUUUUGUAGGGAGGCGACCCUGCUUGCAGCAAGCAGUGCAUUUGCAGCCCCGCGGCAUGGGUGAGGCAGCUCGGCACAGGAGCAAAAGCACACGGGCCCAGAUGCGACACUCGUGGCUGGCAGUGACGUUGGUUCUGGCCUGAGAGCUCACUGGGCCGUCACGGGAGCAUCUCUGUGUGGAUCUCCACGGGAUUUCUCCACACGCUGAGGGCUCCAUUCUGAGAGGGAACAUUCCUGGAAACUCAAGCAGAUGCUGCAUGGCCUCUUAUGACCUGAUCUCCGGAGCCUCCCAACGCCAUGCCCACUGCAUGCUGAUAGUCAAGUGCCUGGGAGGAGCCCCCCUGGAGGGAGAAGAACCCGAUCCCGCCCUUCCCAUGAAGAGCGGAAUCGACUUGCAAGGUGUUCGUGGCGGUCACCCCAGAGACCGUCCACCUCUUCCCCUCCGUUGACUGGGGACAUUCCCAUUUCACAGGGAAAUUGCAAGAAAUAAACAAGGUAAUGUACAGGAAGCUCACUA
Molecule: long non-coding RNA, 1825 nt
Organism: Neofelis nebulosa (Clouded leopard)
Lineage: Eukaryota; Metazoa; Chordata; Mammalia; Carnivora; Felidae
Exons: 2
Source: RefSeq, a predicted model, not a curated record